UCCGUAGGCGGUGUGGCAAGUCGGAAGUGAAAUCUCUGGGCUUAACCCAGAGGCUGCUUCCGAAACUGCCGUGCUAGAGUGUGAGAGAGGCGAGUGGAAUUGCGGGUGUAGCGGUGAAAUGCGUAGAUAUCCGCAGGAACAUCCGAGGCGAAAGCGGCUCGCUGGAUCACAACUGACGCUGAGGGACGAAAGCUAGGGGAGCAAACAGGAUUAGAUACUCUGGUAGUCCUAGCCCUAAACCAUCAGGACUUGGGGUUUGCCCUGUACGGGGCAAGUCCCGUAGCUAACGCGUUAAGUCCUGCGCCUGGGGAGUACGGUCGCAAGGCUGAA
RNAcentral lists this ribosomal RNA (330 nucleotides) under uncultured bacterium. RNAcentral describes it as "bacterial SSU rRNA". It matches the Rfam family "Bacterial small subunit ribosomal RNA", at positions 568 to 898 of the family's 1533-position model. The record is from RNAcentral.